Molecule: unclassified non-coding RNA, 353 nt
Filed under: soil metagenome
Description: partial contains 5.8S ribosomal RNA, internal transcribed spacer 2, and large subunit ribosomal RNA
Rfam family: 5.8S ribosomal RNA (bases 1-120)
Source: RNAcentral
GAUGAAGAACGCAGCGAAAUGCGAUAAGUAAUGUGAAUUGCAGAAUUCAGUGAAUCAUCGAAUCUUUGAACGCACAUUGCGCCCGCCAGUAUUCUGGCGGGCAUGCCUGUUCGAGCGUCAUUACAACCCUCAGGCCCCCGGGCCUGGCGUUGGGGAUCGGCGGAAGCCCCCUGUGGGCACACGCCGUCCCUCAAAUACAGUGGCGGUCCCGCCGCAGCUUCCAUUGCGUAGUAGCUAACACCUCGCAACUGGAGAGCGGCGCGGCCAUGCCGUAAAACACCCAACUUCUGAAUGUUGACCUCGAAUCAGGUAGGAAUACCCGCUGAACUUAAGCAUAUCAAUAAGCGGAGGGA